RNAcentral lists this ribosomal RNA (397 nucleotides) under uncultured bacterium. RNAcentral's name for it is "bacterial SSU rRNA". It matches the Rfam family "Bacterial small subunit ribosomal RNA", at positions 29 to 452 of the family's 1533-position model. The record is from RNAcentral.
AACGAACGCUGGCGGCAUGCCUAACACAUGCAAGUCGAACGAGACCUUCGGGUCUAGUGGCGCACGGGUGCGUAACGCGUGGGAAUCUGCCCUUGGGUUCGGAAUAACAGUUAGAAAUGACUGCUAAUACCGGAUAAUGUCUUCGGACCAAAGAUUUAUCGCCCAGGGAUGAGCCCGCGUAGGAUUAGCUAGUUGGUGAGGUAAAGGCUCACCAAGGCGACGAUCCUUAGCUGGUCUGAGAGGAUGAUCAGCCACACUGGGACUGAGACACGGCCCAGACUCCUACGGGAGGCAGCAGUGGGGAAUAUUGGGACAAUGGGCGAAAGCCUGAUCCAGCAAUGCCGCGUGAGUGAUGAAGGCCUUAGGGUUGUAAAGCUCUUUUACCCGGGAUGAUAAU